Molecule: long non-coding RNA, 534 nt
Filed under: Eucalyptus grandis
Lineage: Eukaryota; Viridiplantae; Streptophyta; Magnoliopsida; Myrtales; Myrtaceae
Description: long non-coding RNA (EGRA_LNC006899)
Source: RNAcentral
CAUGAUGAUAUGCAUGAUGAUGAUGAUGAUGAUGAUGAUGAUGAUAUGUGAUGUGAAAUAAUGAUGAUCACCCAUGAUAUGAUAUGCAUGAUGAUGAUGAUGAUGAUGUGAUGAUGAUGAUGAUGAUGAUGAUGAUAUGUGAUGUGAAAUAAUGAUGAUCACCCAUGAUAUGAUAUGCAUGAUGAUGAUGAUAUGUGAUGUGAAAUAAUGAUGAUCACCCAUGAUAUGAUAUGCAUGAUGAUGAUGAUGAUGAUAUGUGAUGUGAAAUAAUGAUGAUCAUCCAUGAUAUGAUAUGCAUGAUGAUAUGCAUAGUGAUGAUAAUGAUAAUGAUAUAUGAUAUGACAUGUGUAAUGCGAUGAUGUCAUGAUGAUGAUGACAUGUAUGAUGUAAUGAUGCCAUGAUGAUGAUGACAUGUGUAAUGUGAUGAUGUCAUGAUGAUGAUGACAUGUAUGAUACGAUGAUGAUACACAUGUAUGUGUUAUAAAUUGAUAUGAUGAUGCAUGAUAGUAUGCGCAUGGCUUCAAGGUAAGUAAU